UCAAAGGUCGUGCACGCCCGAGCGCUCUCGCACAAUCCAUCUCACCCCUUUGUGCAUCACCGCGUGGGUUCCCCCCCCCCCUUUGCGGGGAGGGCUCGCGUUUUCACGUAAAACUCAAUACAGUCUAGAAUGUUCACUUUUGCGGUCACACGCAAUCAAUACAACUUUCAACAACGGAUCUCUUGGCUCUCGCAUCGAUGAAGAACGCAGCGAAAUGCGAUACGUAAUGUGAAUUGCAGAAUUCAGUGAAUCAUCGAAUCUUUGAACGCACCUUGCGCCCCUUGGCAUUCCGAGGGGCACACCCGUUUGAGUGUCGUGAAAUCCUCAAAACCCCCCUUUCUUUCAUCGGAACGGGGGAUUUUGGACUUGGAGGCUCAAUGCUUGCUUUCGCUUUCGAAAGCGAGCUCCUCUUAAAUGAAUCAGUGGGGUCCGCUUUGCCGAUCCUUGACGUGAUAAGAUGUUUCUACGUUUUGGACAUGGCACUGUUUUCUCCGCUCCUAACUGUCCCACGGACAACGAUGGUGCUCCGGUCCCCUGCCAUCUGGCGCGUGGCUGGACC
Molecule: ribosomal RNA, 559 nt
Filed under: uncultured fungus
Lineage: Eukaryota; Fungi
Description: eukaryotic LSU rRNA
Rfam family: 5.8S ribosomal RNA (bases 163-316)
Source: RNAcentral